CUGAGUUUGAUCCCUGGCUCAGGACGAACGCUGGCGGCGUGCUUAACACAUGCAAGUCGAGCGAUGAAGUUCCUUCGGGAGCGGAUUAGCGGCGGACGGGUGAGUAACACGUGGGUAACCUGCCUCAUAGAGGGGAAUAGCCUUUCGAAAGGAAGAUUAAUACCGCAUAAGAUUGUAGUGCCGCAUGGCAUAGCAAUUAAAGGAGUAAUCCGCUAUGAGAUGGACCCGCGUCGCAUUAGCUAGUUGGUGAGGUAACGGCUCACCAAGGCGACGAUGCGUAGCCGACCUGAGAGGGUGAUCGGCCACAUUGGGACUGAGACACGGCCCAGACUCCUACGGGAGGCAGCAGUGGGGAAUAUUGCACAAUGGGGGAAACCCUGAUGCAGCAACGCCGCGUGAGUGAUGACGGUCUUCGGAUUGUAAAGCUCUGUCUUUCAGGGACGAUAAUGACGUACCUGAGGAGGAAGCCACGGCU
RNAcentral lists this ribosomal RNA (475 nucleotides) under Clostridium beijerinckii. RNAcentral describes it as "bacterial SSU rRNA". It matches the Rfam family "Bacterial small subunit ribosomal RNA", at positions 1 to 498 of the family's 1533-position model. The record is from RNAcentral. Lineage: Bacteria; Bacillati; Bacillota; Clostridia; Eubacteriales; Clostridiaceae.